CCUACGUGCGGCAGCAGUGAGGAAUAUUGGUCAAUGGGCUUACGCCUGAACCAGCCAAGUCGCGUGAGGGAAGACUGCCCUCUGGGUUGUAAACCUCUUUUGUCAGGGAGCAACGCCGGCUACGUGUAGCCGGACUGAGAGUACCUGAAGAAAAAGCAUCGGCUAACUCCGUGCCAGCAGCCGCGGUAAUACGGAGGAUGCGAGCGUUAUCCGGAUUUAUUGGGUUUAAAGGGUGCGUAGGCGGAAUGCCAAGUCAGCGGUAAAAUCGCGGGGCUCAACCUCGCUCCGCCGUUGAAACUGGCGUUCUUGAGUGGGCGAGAAGUAUGCGGAAUGCGUGGUGUAGCGGUGAAAUGCAUAGAUAUCACGCAGAACUCCGAUUGCGAAGGCAGCAUACCGGCGCCCAACUGACGCUGAAGCACGAAAGCGUGGGUAUCGAACAGGAUUAGAUACCCCAGUAGUC
Molecule: ribosomal RNA, 460 nt
Filed under: uncultured bacterium
Lineage: Bacteria
Description: partial 16S ribosomal RNA
Rfam family: Bacterial small subunit ribosomal RNA
Source: RNAcentral